This 491-nucleotide ribosomal RNA is filed under the name uncultured bacterium. Its description in RNAcentral is "partial 16S ribosomal RNA". It matches the Rfam family "Bacterial small subunit ribosomal RNA", at positions 28 to 507 of the family's 1533-position model. The record is from RNAcentral.
GAUGAACGCUGUCUACAGGCUUAACACAUGCAAGUCGAGGGGAAACGCCGGGGAAGCUUGCUUCCCCGGGCGUCGACCGGCGCACGGGUGAGUAACGCGUAUCCAACCUGCCUCUGACUGAGGGAUAACCCGUCGAAAGUCGGCCUAAUACCCCAUGGCAUCGUCUGCGGGCAUCCAACGACGAUUAAAGAUUUCAUCGGUCAGGGAUGGGGAUGCGUCUGAUUAGCUUGUUGGCGGGGUAACGGCCCACCAAGGCUACGAUCAGUAGGGGUUCUGAGAGGAAGGCCCCCCACAUUGGAACGGAGACACGGUCCAAACUCCUACGGGAGGCAGCAGUGAGGAAUAGUGGUCAAUGGGCGGGAGCCUGAACCAGCCAAGUAGCGUGCAGGAUGACGGCCCUAUGGGUUGUAAACUGCUUUUAUGCGGGGAUAAAGUGAGGGACGUGUCCUUCAUUGCAGGUACCGCAUGAAUAAGGACCGGCUAAUUCCGUG